Molecule: ribosomal RNA, 373 nt
Filed under: uncultured bacterium
Lineage: Bacteria
Description: bacterial SSU rRNA
Rfam family: Bacterial small subunit ribosomal RNA
Source: RNAcentral
GGGGGGAGCAAGCGUUGUUCGGAUUUACUGGGCGUAAAGGGCGCGUAGGCGGCCACCGCAAGUCAGUUGUGAAAUCUCUGGGCUUAACCCAGGAAGGUCAACUGAUACUGCGGGGCUAGAGUGCAGAAGGGGCAACUGGAAUUCUCGGUGUAGCGGUGAAAUGCGUAGAUAUCGAGAGGAACACCUGCGGCGAAGGCGGGUUGCUGGGCUGACACUGACGCUGAGGCGCGAAAGCUAGGGGAGCGAACGGGAUUAGAUACCCCGGUAGUCCUAGCCUUAAACGAUGAAUGCUUGGUGUCUGGGGUUAUAUAGUCCCCGGGUGCCGUCGCUAACGCUUUAAGCAUUCCGCCUGGGGAGUACGGUCGCAAAAGGG